GGAGGGAGGAAGGUCACAUAAAGGUGCGUCAAGCUGUGGGCGAUGGGGGCCCAUGACUAUGGGGACCCUCAGAGGAACCGUGUGGUACAUGCCUCUGCCCCCCACCUGCCCCUUAUUGGUCAAGAGCCACCUCUGUGAGCCAGAAGCAUCCCUGCCCUCCAGCUGGUCUGACUCCCGGGCUGAGCAAGCUCCCGUGGGUCAGAGAAAGCCAGAGCAACCCGGAGAAAUGCGCUUCCUGCAGCGGGAGGUGGGGGUUCUCGGGAGCUGUCCGCUUCGGCCGGUGGUGAACUGAGCCACGGCUGCAAGGACUCUGGGAUUGGACCUCAAGAGCCCCUCUCCAUCCCCAAGCCCUCCGCUGCUCUAACAUUCUGGAUCCUCCCUUCUUUCCAGGCAGCUCAACUCGGGUUCCAUAAGCAUUUGCGUCUGUCGGGUUCAUGGCUGCAUCUCCAGAAUCUGGAACAGUGCCUGUCAACACGUAUUGCAUGGAAUAAACUGGCCGCCCGAUGGGCAUCUUUCUUGGUUGCGCGCGCCCGGUGCUCUGGGCCCCGAGCUAGCCCUGGGGAUACAACGUUGAAUCGGGCUUGGUCCCUGCCUUUAGGAGCUUGCUGCACGGAGGGAGCAAUGCGAUCGCCACCAUUGAUGAGACUCUGUUGUGCAGGCCAGCUUCGCGUCGGUCGCCUUAUUUCAGCCUCCGAUAGCCACGAAGGGCCCGUGCGGUCGUGCCUAUCUCACGGGCGAGCAACUCAAAGCUCAGAGAGGUACCACUGUGCUCGGGUGAUCAAGGACCCAGACUCUGAAGCCUGGAUGUGGCUCUGGGACUUCGUCCCAGUGUGACUUGUGGCAUCUUACUCCACCUCUCUGUGCCUCGGUGUCUCGUUCUGUAAAAUUGGAACAAUAGUGACGGUUUCAGAGAGUUGUGCUGAGGAAGAAAUAAGGGGAUGGACAUGGGGAGCGUUGAAAACCGCUCCAGGCACAUAUAUAUAGUCACUA
Long non-coding RNA from Neofelis nebulosa (Clouded leopard), 990 nucleotides. RefSeq lists it as uncharacterized. Lineage: Eukaryota; Metazoa; Chordata; Mammalia; Carnivora; Felidae. The record is from RefSeq and is a predicted model, not a curated record. The transcript is spliced from 2 exons.